Molecule: ribosomal RNA, 517 nt
Filed under: uncultured bacterium
Lineage: Bacteria
Description: bacterial SSU rRNA
Rfam family: Bacterial small subunit ribosomal RNA
Source: RNAcentral
UGGGCGUAAAGCGAGCGCAGGUGGUUUAUUAAGUCUGGUGUAAAAGGCAGUGGCUCAACCAUUGUAUGCAUUGGAAACUGGUAGACUUGAGUGCAGUAGGGGAGACUGGAAUUCCUGGUGUAGCGGUGGAAUGCGCAGAUAUCAGGAGGAACACCGAUGGCGAAGGCAGGUCUCUGGGCUGUAACUGACGCUGAGAAGCGAAAGCAUGGGGAGCGAACAGGAUUAGAUACCCUGGUAGUCCAUGCCGUAAACGUUGGGCACUAGGUGUGGGGGACAUUCCACGUUUUCCGCGCCGUAGCUAACGCAUUAAGUGCCCCGCCUGGGGAGUACGGCCGCAAGGCUAAAACUCAAAGAAAUUGACGGGGGCCCGCACAAGCGGCGGAGCAUGCGGAUUAAUUCGAUGCAACGCGAAGAACCUUACCAAGGCUUGACAUAUACUGGACUGCGUCAGAGAUGGCGUUUCCCUUCGGGGCUGGUAUACAGGUGGUGCAUGGUUGUCGUCAGCUCGUGUCGUGAG